UCGUCCAGGGACAUGGAAAGCCCCACCUGUUAUCAUCGGGGAAGCUGUCAAAUCUUCUGUCUAUGUUCUUUUUUUCUUACAAUCAAUUCCAUCUGUUCUUCCCAGACUCCUCUAACAUUAAUUUCUAUAGAAAUGCUGGAAAUGUACUGAGUUUGGACAUUUUGGUUCCAACUUUGUGCAGGCCGGCUACAGGUAUGUUGCCUGUGCUAGAGUCUCUACGGUAACCGUUUCUUACUUUCAUGUUAUUUGAGGCGAAUAAAUUCACCUUCUAUAGCACCUGUUAUCUUCCAUUUCAAAGUUUGAAGACACCUGCUUUGUGUUUGUCAUCAUUCCUGUUUUUCGGCCUUUGUAACUAGAUACAGAUAUUUCAAGCCUUGUGUUGAUGUAAUGCAGACAGGGGUAGCAUUGAAGGAACUGUUUUGCAGUGGGGUAGGGAACGCAGUGAGAUGUUCAUCACCUCUAGCACUUUAUUAUAUGUUUUUGCCACUCAUCGUUCUUGAUUUGGACCCGAACUGAAAUUGCUUAUAGAUGAUUAGUGAUCACAAUCAAAUUUUGAAGUCAGGAGCAUGAUCUUUAGUUUAGGACCCUGAUCUUGGCCUAAAGCCAACUCUGUUUAAGCAAUCAAGUCAUUAUUACUUGUGACUGUAUUAGUUAUGAAAUUUUCAGGGGCAGCGACCAAGCUCCUGAAGACGUUUCAAGGGCACUGAGCAAGAGUUUAGAAGAUCUGCAACUUGAUUAAAUUGAUCUAUAUCUUGUAAGCGUUUAUUAUGCAUUGAGUUAUAUUUGCAAAUCAACUGGAAUUCGUCUCUCGGUAGUGCUCUAGACAAUUUUUUUGUCACUGAUUUUUAUCUUUAGAACCUUUUUUACAAUUGUGAAAAAAUCUCUCUUUCUGGCAUAUGCCCUUCUGGGUUCUCCAGGAUCUUGGAUUAAAGGAGAGAUCCUAAAGGAACCAGUGCGGUUGAAAUUACUGAAAAGCUUAACAAAUCGCCUGCACAAGUAGCUCUUCCCUGGGGUAUUCAGAGUGGUCACAAUUUCUUCCAAAGAGUGUAAAUGGAUCAAGGAUCAAGGAAAACUUAAGCUUAUUUCAUUGGCAUAUCCCUCCAGAGCUCCUCAAAAUUCACAGAAAUCCACCAGCUAAGGCUCCUCCGAGUGGGGUUUGCAGUCCAAGAAACUAGUAGCCCUUGCAAAAGUCUUGAAAAUUUGUGGGAUGGUGAAAUAUGAGAUGACAUAUCCUCUGGUGAUUUUUGGAUACACAAGCUAUUAAUCUCUCUUCAGAAAACCAAUGCCACAUACUGAAGCCUACCUCUCGGAUUUUGAGACACUAAGAAAUGAAGCUAAGUGUUUGUUAAUUUCAUUUUAGCUUUUGAGUUUGGGAACAGAACUAUUUCUUCCAACAUCAUCUUUAUGCACUUGAAAACAUGUGGAAACGGAAACUAUGGAAUUUGCGUA
This is a long non-coding RNA of Populus nigra (black poplar), 1449 nucleotides long. RefSeq lists it as uncharacterized. The record is from RefSeq and is a predicted model, not a curated record. Lineage: Eukaryota; Viridiplantae; Streptophyta; Magnoliopsida; Malpighiales; Salicaceae. The transcript is spliced from 2 exons.